RNAcentral lists this ribosomal RNA (654 nucleotides) under Leiopathes sp. ES-2013. RNAcentral describes it as "eukaryotic LSU rRNA". It matches the Rfam family "Eukaryotic large subunit ribosomal RNA", at positions 179 to 664 of the family's 3401-position model. The record is from RNAcentral. Lineage: Eukaryota; Metazoa; Cnidaria; Anthozoa; Antipatharia; Antipathidae.
UCCUAAGUUGCUUGGAACAGCACGUCAUAGAGGGUGACAACCCCGUCUGUGGCGAGGCCGGCCGCUGUCGAUGUGCUUUCAAAGAGUCGGGUUGUUUGGGAAUGCAGCCCAAAAUGGGUGGUAAACUCCAUCUAAAGCUAAAUAUUGGCACGAGACCGAUAGCGAACAAGUACCGUGAGGGAAAGAUGAAAAGGACUUUGGAAAGAGAGUUAAAAAGUACGUGAAACCGUUAAAAGGGAAACGAAUGGAGCUAGCAAUGCGCCCUGUGAGAUUCAGCCGGCCGGUGGUCCAGGCGCGUGGCUUGCAGAUCUGAAUUGACUGCGGCCGCGUGGUUUGGGCUCCCGACCGUCGCACUUCUUGCGGGCGCGCGUCAACAUGGGUUGGGAGUGGGUCUGAAAGGCACCGGGAAGGUAGGUCCGACCCCUCGGGGCUGGUCUGUUAUAGUCCGGUGUUCUCAUGGCUCGCGCCCGACCGAGGAGUUGCAGCACAUGCCUCUUGUGGCUGGGGUCCCGUCGUUCCGGUUGGUUGUCGACGGCGGUGGACUGCGUGCAGUGCACCGCGACUGCUGCCGGUCGCUACGGUGGUGACUUCGCACCAUGUGCUCAGGAUGUUGGCGGUCAUAUGGCUUCAUCCGACCCGUCUUGAAACACGGAA